UUGCAUCGAUGAAGAACGCAGCGAAAUGCGAUAAGUAAUGUGAAUUGCAGAAUUCAGUGAAUCAUCGAAUCUUUGAACGCACAUUGCGCCCCUUGGUAUUCCGAGGGGCAUGCCUGUUCGAGCGUCAUUACACCACUCAAGCUAUGCUUGGUAUUGGGUGCCGUCCUUAGUUGGGCGCGCUUUAAAGACCUCGGCGAGGCCUCACCGGCUUUAGGCGUAGUAGAAUUUAUUCGAACGUCUGUCAAAGGAGAGGACUUCUGCCGACUGAAACCUUUUAUAUUUUUUCUAGGUUGACCUCGGAUCAGGUAGGGAUACCCGCUGAACUUAAGCAUAUCAAUAAGCGGAGGAA
This 349-nucleotide ribosomal RNA is filed under the name uncultured Dothioraceae. Its description in RNAcentral is "eukaryotic LSU rRNA". The stretch from base 1 to 127 matches the Rfam family "5.8S ribosomal RNA", at positions 28 to 154 of the family's 154-position model. The record is from RNAcentral. Lineage: Eukaryota; Fungi; Ascomycota; Dothideomycetes; Dothideales; Dothioraceae.